RNAcentral lists this small RNA (253 nucleotides) under Arabidopsis thaliana (thale cress). RNAcentral's name for it is "ATSL082330". The record is from RNAcentral. Lineage: Eukaryota; Viridiplantae; Streptophyta; Magnoliopsida; Brassicales; Brassicaceae.
UUAGUUAUAAUUGAUAAAUUGUAAACUUCGAUACAAAUUAUUAAAUAUUAUUGGUUUAGAGUUAUUGAAAAUUGUAAAUCACGAAAAACAGUAAAUUUAAAAGCAACAUUUCAUAUGUUUUCUUAAUAUUUGUGUUUUUCCUAAAGGAUCAAACAAAAAGGAACAGAUUGAGUAUUACUUAGGAUAAGUUUGGGGUUUAUAGCAAAAAGUUUGAUAUUUGGGGCUUAUAGCAAAAAGUUGGACUGACAAUUAU